UAAGCAACGUUGGGCCUGGUUAGUACUUGGAUCGGAGACGGCCUGGGAAUUCCAGGUGUUGUAGACAUCUUCUUUUUCUUUUUGCAACAACACUAACUAAACAACUCACUUCUCACAGCGCAAAUAUAAUAAUUGGAAGGUGGAGAAAUUCUCAACGGUUUAAUUACCCAAGUUUGAGGUAAUUGAAUGUUUCAGCCCAGAGUUUCGGCUCAUGUGGCUUGAAGAUAAAUUUUGGAACGUCCUGUGCUAAACGGGACAACAAAAGGGUGAAUUUAUACGGAUGGGAGCUUAACAAAAAAUGCCAUUGGCGAUCGCAUCUAAAAUGUUGCUACGUUAGAAUUUUACCCUACAAUAACAUUGAAAAAAAAAAUAUUAUUGCUAUCUACGACCAUACCACGUUGAAAGCACGACAUCUCGUCCGAUCUGUC
Molecule: unclassified non-coding RNA, 428 nt
Filed under: Setaria cervi
Lineage: Eukaryota; Metazoa; Nematoda; Chromadorea; Rhabditida; Setariidae
Source: RNAcentral